This 292-nucleotide ribosomal RNA is filed under the name uncultured Planctomycetota bacterium. RNAcentral describes it as "uncultured planctomycete partial 16S ribosomal RNA". Lineage: Bacteria; Pseudomonadati; Planctomycetota. The record is from RNAcentral.
GGACUACAAGGGUUUCUAAUCCCGUUUGCUCCCCUAGCUUUCGCGCCUCAGCGUUAGAAAAGGUCCAGCAGCUCGCUUUCGCCACCGGCGUUCCUUCCGAUAUCAACGCAUUUCACCGCUCCACCGGAAGUUCCAGCUGCCCCUACCUCCCUCCAGCCGAUCCGUAUCCAAGGCCCUUUUCCGGUUGAGCCGAAAGAUUUCACCCCGGACGUGAUCGACCGCCUACGCGCCCUUUAAGCCCAGUGAUUCCGAACAACGUUCGCACGGUUCGUCUUACCGCGGCUGCUGGCAC